RNAcentral lists this unclassified non-coding RNA (2706 nucleotides) under Hevea brasiliensis (rubber tree). Lineage: Eukaryota; Viridiplantae; Streptophyta; Magnoliopsida; Malpighiales; Euphorbiaceae. The record is from RNAcentral.
CAUCAAAGAUCCAUAUUAGAAUCAUACCAAAAUUUUUUAAACCGGAACAAAAACCGAACUCUCAUACCUGUAAAAACCUGCCUUUUUACGUAAAAUUCAUAAAAUUUUACAGUUUAUUACUAAACCAAUCUACCCAUAAAAUUCAUUUUGGCAAUAUACUUUUGCACUGUGUAUAAUAUUAAUACAUCUCUAAAUAACGUUGAAUAUUGUACAACAUGCUGAUGCUGGACAGGAAGGAUUAGUAUACCGACCAAUGCUCUUCCACACCCCAUUCUCGUCCCAGUCGCACCAAAGCAAGCUCUGUACAUUACAUCUCAAUGUCUUCUAGAUCUGGUAGCGGAAAUCGAAGGAUGGCGGCAAUGCCAGUCAAUUGUGCCAAUUGCUCUCCUGAGACAUGCAUUGAUGAAAAUAUAUGAACAGUGCCCCCUGAAUCCUUCACUGAGCUGACUAGAUUGACGUACUUCUUCCUCGCAGGUAUAUCAGCAUUUCUGAAUAGAUCAUCUGUGAUAAGAAGAGUUUGGACAGCCAUGCGUUCAUGGGCAACCUCUACAUGCUUUGGUCCAUAGCAUGCACGAGCUGGAUCCUAACAGAAAACCUCACACUCAAGCAUAUUCUAAGAAUUUAUUUAGGAAUUAACAUAUGGAUGUAAAUAUACUAAAAGCACAUUCUGAGCAAUUACUACUACUUGUAUGUUGAGAUUAAUCAGAUCUCAGUAUGUUUUAGUUCUCAGUGUCAUAUUGAGAUCAUUACAUUAUUUUUUAGUAUAUAUUCUUAUCAUUAAGUUUUUCAUGGCCAUAAAAAAGAAAAAUUCACAAUAAAACAGAAAACCACUCAUCUCAAGAAUAGAACCUGACAUUUGAAAGCAUGUUAAAGAAAUCCUGAAGUGCUCGAACCUCUUGAGCUGCCUUAGUGUCUUUAAUCAUGUUCAUAACAUUUGAGGCAUCAAGAACCUCUCUCAAGCUAUGCCUAUAUCCUGAGCUUGUAUGCACAAGAACUAUGCGCGACUUGUUCUCAAUAAUGGGUCUCAGCUGUCUCCUCUCUGCCUCCAACAAUAAGUGACGAUGAAACUGAUCCUUAGUGAAACCAGGGCUUGCAAUCACAGCACACCGAAUAACAUUGAAAUCAAUAUGUUUUAGGAAAGCCUGUAAAACAUGCUCAAAGAACUUAUUCAAUGCCGACUCAUAACCAGCAAUGGCAGGCCCAUGCUUUCGAGGAAUUGAAGUCUCUAUCCUUGACCGAGUAGUUGUCAUGCUUUUACCAACAAGGAAGAUGUGUGCUAGUCCUUCUUGCAUUAAAACCACAGCAAGAUCAGCACUUGCACCAGGAUCUGAAAUUAUAGGGAGAGCAACAUCAGUUACAAAGUAAUUAAAUUAAAUUAGUCUAUAAAUAUUUAUGUUCAUCAAUUACUACAUGAGCAAUUCAAAAUGCUAAAGCUAGAAAAGGCUAUUUAAAAAACUGAUGAAAGACCCCCAAAGCACCACCUUGAGUAGGUGGCACACUCAAAGGAGGGACUUCAAGGUAGGCAAUGCUCAAGAGUACAAAAAAUAAGUUAUGUGGCAACACCCAGACUAAAGAAACCAAGUUUCAGGUCAUCAAGAACCAACAGAUUAAGAAUUUUAGUUGUAGCAUGUGUUUUCAUUCAGUGUGCAUGUUUUGUGACACCAAGUAGAAGCAAUUACUUAACAUAUGGAGGAAAAAACUUUUUUUUUCCCAAUUCUUCUCUAGGCAUUAUUCAUUGUUGGUAGCUUUUCUAAGCUCUUUAGUAAACCAGAACAUUUCAAAGGACGACCACAUCUAAUUUUCAUUGAUUAGGAUCCUCAUCUUGCUAAGUUGUGUUUCAACAUUAUAAAUGGUGGUAAGUACUCAACUACUUAGUGUGGGUGAGCACCAACAGAGCUCAUCUUUUCUAUAAAAAUAUUCAACUGCAUGAAACUGCAAAUUUUGACAUGACAAAAGUCAAGGUUUCCCAUUAAUGCUACCUAUUGAGUGAUUCUCACUAUUCCAACUUAAACAAAGCAUACAAUUGCUAUAAACUGCCAGCUCCAACAGAAAAUUAUUAAUAACCAGCAUCAACCUUAGCUACAAGAAUCUUGAACAUAACUGCAGUAAUCCACAGAGUUAACGGCAUAAAAUUCUAAAUAAUCACCAAUGUGAAACUUCUACAGAAAUUAUUUGCACAUGGAUAUAACCUCAAAGAAGAAUUAUUGAGAAAGGCAUGAAAUUCAAAGAUCGAAACAACUUACCAGAGGUUUGAUCAAGUGCAUCUACAGCCAAUGAGUCCCAAAUUUCCUAAUAUACAUAAGCCAAAAGCAAGCAAGCAGAUGAUAAAAGUAUAAACUAAUCACACAGUGAAAACAGCAAGGCCAAAUAACCAGAAAGGCAACAAUCUUCCAGAGCUUUUCAUUUUAUCAAUCUAUUGUUUAACCUCAAGAUUGAUUCCAAUUUUAAUAGUUCAAUUCAAAUUAAUUUAUAAACAUAUUAAGAUCAUGUAGAAUUCAUUUUCGACUUAAAAAUUAGUUGUAACUCCAUAAAUCACUAAAAUAUUCAAGUUCUGCAUAAAGUUUAAAAGAUAAUAUAUUUUUAAAAAUAAAACAAUUGGCUAAAAUUGAUAAUUUGAGAAAAGGUUCUGGCUUUUUUUGUCCAUUUAGCCUUAAAAGAGUUAUUUACAAAUUUAAGCAUAAAAAGAUAAAAGAAAACAGAAGCAUA